This 432-nucleotide long non-coding RNA is filed under the name Gallus gallus (chicken). RNAcentral's name for it is "long non-coding RNA NONGGAT005036". The record is from RNAcentral. Lineage: Eukaryota; Metazoa; Chordata; Aves; Galliformes; Phasianidae.
UCACAGCAGCUGCCGUGGCCCUGCGGUGGGAGGGGAGCUGCCAAGCGUGGCCAUCCCUGGUCGGUUCCACUGGGAGAGGAGAGGAGGUCACCAGGCCAUGUUGGUGUGCCACGUUGGGUAUACUUGUCCUUACCAACCUCCUCAACUACCCAAACAUUUGCAAGACUGCUCGAUGUUUUAAGGACCUGUAAGGAGGCUGAGGAAUAAGACGUCUGACACAGAGAACUGUGGCUGAAACCUUCCUAAGACUGCUGCCAUUGUGCAAACCAAGUGCACACCAGUAGGAGAGCAGUGCCACAACCGAGCAAUGGCACAAAGCAUCACAGGAGGGGGAGAGAUGGAUGGAAAAAGUAGAGCGAGGUGCAAGUUUCUGCACAGCUGGAGCACAGCUACGGCGCUGGAGAAACAUCUGCAUAGAGCACAGAGCCCUUC